Molecule: non-coding RNA, 683 nt
Organism: Pteropus alecto (black flying fox)
Lineage: Eukaryota; Metazoa; Chordata; Mammalia; Chiroptera; Pteropodidae
Source: the annotation of a RefSeq genome assembly
GGGAACUCUCUUAGGGCAUCUCGACCAUGGCCUGGGCUCUGCUCCUCUUCAGCCUCCUCUCUCAGGGCACAGGGUCCUGGGCCCAGUCUGCCCUGACUCAGCCUUCCUCAGUGUCCGGGGCUCUGGGACAGACGGUCACCAUCUCCUGUGCUGGCAGCAGCAAUGACAUUGGGAGAUAUAAUGAUGUCUCCUGGUACCAACAGCGCUCAGGCACGACCCCCAAACUCUUGAUUUAUAAUGUCAACACUCGGCCCUCUGGAAUCCCUGAUCGCUUCUCUGGCUCCAAGUCUGGCAACACAGCCUUGCUGAUCAUCUCCAGGCUUCAGCCUGAGGACGAGGCUGAUUAUCACUGUUUCUCAUAUGCGGGCAGUAGCACUUCCCACAGUGGUGCAAGUUCAUGGGGAAGCUUCUGUGUUAUGGUCGUUAUGAGCCAGCCCCCAUCUGCAUCUGCCUCCCUGGGAUCCUCGGCCAAGCUCGCCUGCACUCUAAGCAGUGAGCACAGCACCUUCUACAUUCAUUGGUAUCAACAGAAAGCAGGCAAGGCCCCUCAGUAUGUGAAGAAGGUUAACAGUGAUGGAAGCCACGGCAAGGGGGACGGGAUCUCCAAUCGCUUCUUGGGCUCCAGCUCUGGGGCUGACCGCUACUUAACCAUCUCCAAACUCCAUCCUGAGGACGAGGCUUAG